RNAcentral lists this long non-coding RNA (1296 nucleotides) under Ursus maritimus (polar bear). RNAcentral's name for it is "lncRNA (ENSUMAG00000022544.1)". The record is from RNAcentral. Lineage: Eukaryota; Metazoa; Chordata; Mammalia; Carnivora; Ursidae.
AAUUUACCCAGCAGAGAAGGGGUGGCGUCCGAGGCGGAGGGAACAGCGCAGGCAGGGAUGUGGGCAGCGAAAGCUGUCGUGUCACACCCCAGCUCAGUAGACACCAGAAGCCACAUGAGAGGACACUGUCCUGUUGGAGUUGGGCGUGCCCGCUCUGCCUUCAACUUCUUGGAGGUGUCUGGGAAGGUAACCAGUUAGGGUCCAACAUGGAGGAAGAGAAAAGCCCACCCCUCUUUGCUGAAAAUCCAUGGCAACAGCCAAGCCUCUGCUAGGAGCGUGGGGAGAACGUUGGGAAGGUCGUCACCAAGGGAUGCCGCUACGUGGUCCUCGGCCUGCAAGGCUUCGCCGCGGCCUACUCUGCCCCGUUCGGAGUUGCCACCAGCGUGGUCUCGUUUGUCCGCUAGCAGGAGCGCGGACGGAAGCCCCGCGCUGGGAGCUGUGCGGGCCCAGGACCAUCUCCGACCCGAACCCACAAAAUCCUUGGAGGAAAUCAAUGUCUUUCCUUGUUGCAUUGGAUGAAUGCUAUGAACGGAACAUCCCUGCCCAUCCGCUGAGCUUUUCAUGACUCUAGGACACAGGUGGCUCCGAUGGACAGUCCCGCAGAGAGUCAGGCCCGUAUUAAGCUUGGGGUUACGGUGUGCGGACACCGAAGCCUUCACAUGGAGGCCACGGGGGGCUGGCCCAGAGGCAGACGCUUGGCAGAAGGGGGCACUCUGGGUGGGUAGCGCACUGGGGAUUAUGAGGGGGGAAAGGGAUUUUGACCUGGACUAAUAAGAUGAUUUGUUAUGUUCUGGGAAGGUCGCAGGCCGGCUUGGCGCUCACAGCCCUUGGCUGCCUCGAUUCUGGGGGCAGCAGAGGAGCUGUUUGUCUGUCAUGUGCCCCAUCUCCUUCCUCCACCCCUUUGUCACCAGGAGUUUAAUUAUGGGCUUGAGAAGAAGGAAGGAAGGAAGGAAAAUCUCUUUGAAGGUGGGGUUGCUUUGAAAACUGUGGAUGACGUGUGUGACUGUUGAAAGCAGAUAAAGCUUGUGAUUCCCACCCCCCCACACGAAUGUGCAGCUGGCAGGGAGGGAAGGAGAGGGUUCAGAGGCAGGCUGGGUGGGCUGGAGAGGUCGCUGGAGGGCACGCUCCUGCGGUUCCCGGGCCAGCCCUGGCCGGCUGCGGGCUCCGAGCUUCAGGCCUGUGGCUGGCUGACCACUGCCCCNNNNNNNNNNNNNNNNNNNNNNNNNNNNNNNNNNNNNNNNNNNNNNNNNNNNNNNNNNNNAUUCAGUGAAGGAACCAGUAAGUAGGAGACAGGUG